AUUGAACGCUGGCGGCAGGCCUAACACAUGCAAGUCGAGCGGAUGAAGGGAGCUUGCUCCUGGAUUCAGCGGCGGACGGGUGAGUAAUGCCUAGGAAUCUGCCUGGUAGUGGGGGAUAACGUCCGGAAACGGGCGCUAAUACCGCAUACGUCCUGAGGGAGAAAGUGGGGGAUCUUCGGACCUCACGCUAUCAGAUGAGCCUAGGUCGGAUUAGCUAGUUGGUGGGGGAAAGGCCUACCAAGGCGACGAUCCGUAACUGGUCUGAGAGGAUGAUCAGUCACCCUGGAACUGAGACACGGUCCAGACUCCUACGGGAGGCAGCAGUGGGGAAUAUUGGACAAUGGGCGAAAGCCUGAUCCAGCCAUGCCGCGUGUGUGAAGAAGGUCUUCGGAUUGUAAAGCACUUUAAGUUGGGAGGAAGGGCAGUAAGUUAAUACCUUGCUGUUUUGACGUUACCAACAGAAUAAGCACCGGCUAACUUCGUG
This 484-nucleotide ribosomal RNA is filed under the name uncultured bacterium. RNAcentral describes it as "partial 16S ribosomal RNA". It matches the Rfam family "Bacterial small subunit ribosomal RNA", at positions 30 to 507 of the family's 1533-position model. The record is from RNAcentral.